Molecule: ribosomal RNA, 433 nt
Filed under: uncultured bacterium
Lineage: Bacteria
Description: partial 16S ribosomal RNA
Rfam family: Bacterial small subunit ribosomal RNA
Source: RNAcentral
AACGAACGCUGGCGGCAUGCCUAACACAUGCAAGUCGAACGAGACCUUCGGGUCUAGUGGCGCACGGGUGCGUAACGCGUGGGAACCUGCCCUUAGGUUCGGAAUAACUCCCCGAAAGGGGUGCUAAUACCGGAUAAUGUCUUCGGACCAAAGAUUUAUCGCCUUUGGAUGGGCCCGCGUUGGAUUAGCUAGUUGGUAGGGUAAAAGCCUACCAAGGCGACGAUCCAUAGCUGGUCUGAGAGGAUGAUCAGCCACACUGGGACUGAGACACGGCCCAGACUCCUACGGGAGGCAGCAGUGGGGAAUAUUGGACAAUGGGCGAAAGCCUGAUCCAUCAAUGCCGCGUGAGUGAUGAAGGCCUUAGGGUUGUAAAGCUCUUUUACCCGGGAUGAUAAUGACAGUACCGGGAGAAUAGGCUCCGGCUAACUCCGUG